UUUUACAAUCCCUGUUGGGAAUUUUAGUGGUAUGCUUAGGAAGAUGCAUCAAAAAGACACAUCUAUGUGGCAUGGUCAGAUAAAAGUGCCCUGCUGGCAAUUCUCAGGAGGAAGCCUGCAGCCCCUCUGCUGCAUGUUCCUCCGCUGCCAGGCACUUUGUCACUGCUAAUGCUCAGCUGGGAAAUAUUCUUGGAAUACGGAGCAUUGGCCUCCUUCCCUGCACAGAUUCCUGCACUCUAGGAAAGCACACCAAGGCCUUAGUGACUCUGCAGUACAACUGAGUUGCUUCUUACAGCUAGUAAUAGCUGCCAGUGCAGUGCUGUCAGAGAAUACCCGUCAGGUAGAGAACAGAGCCCAGUUUACUCAGUGUCUGCCAUCAGCUGCUGGGACAAAAGGUGGAUUGAUCGACUCCUCUGUGGGUCGGAUCACAAAAACAAUCAUGUUCUGUCUUGAGUAGGGUCACCUUAGCAGCGUGGGGCUUUAGAUGGUGGUUGCUGCUACCUAUUUCCCAGUCAGCUUCUCCUGUGGAAAAGCCACUUGGGUAAGCAUUCAGGAAGGCAGUCAAGUCCACACACACCACUCUCACCACAGCAAGCUCGGCACAGAGAGGCUGAGAGGCCUUUUAUAAGGUCACUUCCAGUGAGGUUUAUUUAAGCACGCCAUAGGGGAAUCAGAGACAAAAGAUGAGCCAUGUCCUCUGCACAAAGCUUAAGGAGGGGCACGUACAGGUUUGGUAGCAAGGGGCGGGACAAAGGGAAUUGGCUCUCCAGGAAGAAGGGGCCGUCCACCAUGGGUACCACGACCGCCACUAAUUACACAUUGCGAACUAAAUGUUUUUUUCAAAGGAACUCUUGCUAGGUAUGAAUAGAGAUUCUUGGUUGUUUCCAAUUGGUGAAACAUUAAUAUGACUUAAAACUGAUGUGAUGGGGGAAUAAUUAAGCUCUGUGCAAAAAGACAUUGUUGAGUUCAAACUGGGUGCUCACAAACAGCUGUUCAGGACCAAUCAUAUUUCUGUAGUUUGCGUGCAGCAACCAUAAUGAAGGUUUGUUUUCUGAAAUGUCUGCCUGUAGGUAGCCAAGUGGAAUCCAAAGGAGAAUUCCUUCAGUCUGAAAGAAGAUCUGUUUCAAACCCUUCAGACUGAUUAGCCUGGAUACACUGAGACAGACAGUCAGAAUUUGAAGUUAAUACUUUCUGGGUAAAUUCGGCCUUUCGGAGAAAGGGAAAUAAAAGGGCUCUGGAAAUAAAGCCUAGAUUCUUAGAAUAUGCUGAGGUAGAAGGAACAUGCCAGGAUCCUGAUCCUGCACAGGACACCAUGAGAAUCACACCCUGUGCCCAAAAGAGUUGCCCAAGCUCUUCUUGAGCCCUUGCUGCAGUGACCACUGGCCUGGGGAGCCUGUUGCAGUGCUCAAGCACCCUCUGGGCCAUGACUGUUUUCCCAAUAUCCUGCCUAAACCUCCCUCAACUCAGCUUCAUGCUGUUUCCUUGAGUCCUGACACUCAAGGUCUGUUUUCCCUGCAAGGAAAGACCUAUGGCAGUUGAUAUUUAUGCUUUGUAACAUGAAAUAUUGGAUCAUCCAUACAGAAAAUCAGCUCCAUCUCAGAACCCCACCAGCAGCAGCCAAGCAACAUCUCCAAGGCCUUCUGAGAGAGACACUCCAGCAAGACCUGCUCAGAAACAGCCUCUGGCUUCUGACUUGACCAGUCCUGUGACGAGCAAGAAGAGGAGAAUUGGUCACCAGCAGAGUCAUGUCCAGGCAGCAGCUGGUGGCCACUUUUCUUCCUUCCUUCUGCCUUCCACAUCCUUUUUCACUUUGGACAUGUCUCCAAGUGUUGGCUCCAUUUCCCCCCUGCACCCAUGUGGUGCAACAAACAGAGAAAUUUCAGAGUUCCAUCAUCCCAGCGCCUGCCAGAGUGCAGAAGGAGACCCCCAAUUCAAAUGGGAAGAAAACUGAAUUGGGGAGGCUGAAGCAGUUCCAUCCCUUGGAUUUCGAUGAAGGUAUUAAUGUGCUGGUUUUCCUGACUCCUGUGUGCAUAACUGUGGUAUAAAGAUUUGGUUAUUAAAAGAAGCUUCUGCCCAAAUUAAGGUGCAAACAUGACCCUUUUCCACAGCCAACAGUAAAAAUGUUAUUGAACAGUAAAUGCAAACUAGGGAGAUAGAAAGAAAUAUGAGAAGAGAGGCAGGGUGAGGGGAAGACAGAGCCAUUAAUUAGGAAGUUAUCAUCCCCACAUGGACCCUCUGUCCUCCAGCCAGUCCUUCCUCACCCUUGGUCUUCUUGGUGGUGGGGGUCCUCAUGUCUCCUUGGAGGUACCACCUUUAUAGUGUCCAAGAUUGGGGUAUCCACAGGCUGGUCACAGCUGUCCCCACAUCUUGGGCUAGAAGCCAUAGAAGCAUUUUCCUCACCCACAGUAUCUACAGUGGAGAUUUUAUCUGGUGUCCUAAUUCCAAACCUUCACCUCUGUUAGGCCAAGGCUUAUAGUUUCUCUUCAUGCCAUCAGAUUCCUGUUGUGAUGGCUUAUCUUACGGGAGCAUCCUUCUUUGACAGUGUUCUCAAAUAGUUAAUUGUGCUCUUGCUCCUUGUGAAAAGGGAGCUUUGAAACCGGGCACUGGAUACAUGAAGGCACUGCUUUACAUUACUGCUCUACCAUUAUUCCUGCUGUAUGGUCAUGAAAAAUCAAGAUUUGGUUUUUUUCUUCUAUUACAUUAGAUUGUAACUCUUGCUUUAAUAGACAACAACAGCAAAGCCCAGAACCUGUGCUGCUGACACCUUGUCUAAAACUACAUUAAUAUUUAGAAAUUCUCCCUCUAAAUAGUGCAAAACCAAUCAAGAACAAAAAAAUGUGAAAUUAAUUGGUGUUGGAAGAACCUGCUUAAAAGGAAGAGCCAGGCACUAGGAAGCCACAAGGAAUGGGUUUUUUCUUUCCAUUUGAUUUCUAGUAAAAUUACAGUUGACUGAGACAUCACUUUUUCCAUCAGCAGAUUUCCAAGACUGCAUGCUGAAGACAGAAACCUGUUCACAUUGAUUUCAGACUAGUUUACUGAAACAUGUCAGUCAAAUCUCAGUGAUUCCAUGGCUGUUCAUUGAACUCAGCCUUUUCAUGGAAACUCCAAAAGCUGCAAUAACUACAAAAACCUACAAAACCUGGGCUGUGGUUUCCUGGAGUUCUACUUUGAACUGGGCUGUGAGUUCCUCUCCACCCUAGCUGCAGAAUUUCUUUCUUCAAAAACUGUGGAAGUGGUGCAGACUGAAAACAACACUGAAAAGCUGAACAGAAAUGCAUAAAGAACACUUGAUUUCUGAGGGCAGAGACACAGCCAGUAGGGCAGAGUUCAGUUGCUUUGAUGAAUCUGUGGGUUGUCUCUUUUGGAGGUUUACCUUGCAAAUUCCAAGUUUGGUUUAGUCUGGAGGCAGGUUUAGAGUGUGCAGAUGCCUCUUGCAAGUGCUGCUGUGCUUGUAGAGACAGGUGCUUUGAGAUGGUCUUCCCACAUUCCUUCUGCACAUGCACACAGUACCUGCAAACCUUGGGAUGCCUUUGGAAGGAUUUCUGCUUGAAUCUAUAAACACAUCAGCAACUUUCUUCAGGAGGCAGUAACAAAAUUCUGCCCAGCUGGUGAAGGAAAUAUCUGUUCUGUGUUUCAGGUUGGGGCUUAGGCUGAAGUGAUCAUGAGGACUGAGCCAUGAGAGCAAAUGCACUUUUGGAAAUGAAAUGCACACAGUAAAGUGUUCCUCCAAGUGGGUAGCCCCAGCUACUCCAAGAUGAGAUGUUCCACAUUCAGGAAUAAGUUUCUGAAUUUGGCAAGAAGCAAGUUGAGUCCUGGCACCAGUCUUCUGCUUCAGCAAGGGAACGUCUAUGAGCUCCAGCUGUUUUAUUUUAAAAGAAGAUUAGGUUUUUAAGUUUCUUCAAGUUAGCAUU
Molecule: long non-coding RNA, 3911 nt
Organism: Passer domesticus (house sparrow)
Lineage: Eukaryota; Metazoa; Chordata; Aves; Passeriformes; Passeridae
Exons: 3
Source: RefSeq, a predicted model, not a curated record